AAUAGUUUAAAUAAAAACUUUGGUCUUGUAAGCCAAGAAUGAAAAUUUUUCUUAAAGCUUC
Molecule: transfer RNA, 61 nt
Filed under: Carcinus maenas (green crab)
Lineage: Eukaryota; Metazoa; Arthropoda; Malacostraca; Decapoda; Carcinidae
Description: partial tRNA-Thr
Source: RNAcentral